Molecule: transfer RNA, 66 nt
Filed under: Scirtothrips dorsalis
Lineage: Eukaryota; Metazoa; Arthropoda; Insecta; Thysanoptera; Thripidae
Description: tRNA-Leu
Source: RNAcentral
ACUUUUGUAGUAAAAUUAUAAUACCUUGAUAUUAAAAAUCAAAAAUGAGAUAAAUCUCCUAAAGUA